Molecule: non-coding RNA, 101 nt
Organism: Rhodocollybia butyracea
Lineage: Eukaryota; Fungi; Basidiomycota; Agaricomycetes; Agaricales; Omphalotaceae
Source: the annotation of a GenBank genome assembly
GCCCGCUUAGCUCAGUGGUAGAGCAUUGUACUUAUGAGGUCACGUGGAGUCCUGCGCAUGAGAUUAUGCAAGGGUCGGCAGUUCGACCCUGCCAGUGGGCA